GGAAAGGUUGCUCAGUGGUAGAGCACUUGCCUUGCAUGCAUGAGACCCUGGGUUCAAUUCCCCAGCACCA
This 70-nucleotide transfer RNA is filed under the name Dipodomys ordii (Ord's kangaroo rat). It matches the Rfam family "tRNA". Rfam says of the family: Transfer RNA (tRNA) molecules are approximately 80 nucleotides in length. The record is from Rfam by way of RNAcentral. Lineage: Eukaryota; Metazoa; Chordata; Mammalia; Rodentia; Heteromyidae.